This 29-nucleotide small RNA is filed under the name Bombyx mori (domestic silkworm). Its description in RNAcentral is "ovarian small RNA-11431". Lineage: Eukaryota; Metazoa; Arthropoda; Insecta; Lepidoptera; Bombycidae. The record is from RNAcentral.
ACGACGUUAGCCCCCCUUCCCCUUCGCGU